GAAAUGCGAUACGUAAUGUGAAUUGCAGACUUCAGUGAAUCAUCAAACCUUUGAACGCAUAUUGCGCUUACAGUAUUCCUGUAAGCAUGUCUGUUUGAGCGUCAUUUCGACCAUCGAGCCCCCCCGGGGGCUUGUGUUGGGGACCUGCGGCUGCCCGCAGGCCCGAAAACCAGUGGCGGGCUCGCUGUCACCCCGAGCGUAGUAGUUCUCGCCUCGCUCAGGGACGUGCUGCGGGUGUUCCGGCCGUUAAAGCCCCCCCAACGUACCCCCAAGGUUGACCUCGGAUCAGGUAGGAAUACCCGCUGAACUUAA
Molecule: unclassified non-coding RNA, 312 nt
Filed under: uncultured Chytridiomycota
Lineage: Eukaryota; Fungi; Chytridiomycota
Description: sequence contains ITS1
Rfam family: 5.8S ribosomal RNA (bases 1-104)
Source: RNAcentral